UGGGUCUGAAAUAUUUAUUCCAAUUCUUUUCUCCACCAGCUCCAUAAAUAUUUAUUCUAUGCCCACUGCUUGUUAGUUUCUGGGAUACCAGGCCGAUGAGGCAGUCUCUUCCUCUCCUCCUUUGAGCAAGCUUGUGCUUGCAAUCCUGUAUAAGAAAUAAGAGGAGGGCAACAACUUGUAUCUUGUGCCUUCUACACAUGCCAACCAUAGCCUGAAGUUCACAGCAAAGUUAAAUUCCAGUUAAGUAAACCAGUGAGGUCAUAAUACACUUAAAUAACAACUGAGACGUGAGAAACUAACAGAGAUCCUCAGUAAGUGUGUCGGUCACCUCUUCGCGCGAGCAGGGAGAUCAGAUCGAGAGCAGGACCUCCUCGCCAGUGAUUUGGAAUGAUAAAUGGGGAAGAGAAGGGGGUGAAGUUACCUGGGCGCUCAGGCAUGACUAAGAGAUAUCGUGAAAUUACAACUCAACAAUGAAUUACAGCACAGGCUUUUCACAACUAAGAGACUGUCCAUCAUGGUGCCAGUUUUUCUCAAAAUGGCAUGUGUGCAUGAAAUUCUACAGGCAUAUGGGGUCGUGAUCUGCUAAUCUCCAGUUAUUAUACAAAACUACAGAUACUUGAAAACAGA
Molecule: long non-coding RNA, 627 nt
Filed under: Homo sapiens (human)
Lineage: Eukaryota; Metazoa; Chordata; Mammalia; Primates; Hominidae
Description: non-protein coding RNF217-AS1:1
Source: RNAcentral